Molecule: non-coding RNA, 746 nt
Organism: Pogona vitticeps (central bearded dragon)
Lineage: Eukaryota; Metazoa; Chordata; Lepidosauria; Squamata; Agamidae
Source: RefSeq, a predicted model, not a curated record
CUGGCAGAUGAUACAAGCCCUUAUCACCUUGGUUUAGGGCUUUAAAGAUUAUACAUCUGAAGCUGUUUUCUUUGCGCUGUGGAUCUCUCACCUUGAAUGAUAAAGGUGGGAGUGUGAUCACUACCGAUUCUGUCUACUUGUGGAGGCAACGGCCAAAGUGUUCUCAGCCAUGUUUCCGUAAACCCAAGAAUACUGGUGCUGCUGGAACCAGAAUGUAUUGAGAGUUGCCUGCAGUGAUGCAUCAUCACCCCUUCUGUACAAGAAGUCCCAAAACUUUCACCCAAGGAGUCCUGGUGCCACUACUAUGCUGCCAUGGUUUCAUUGUUAUUCUACACAGGAUAUUUUGCUUUAUGAAGUUAUCUGUAUGCUGCUGGCGCACAAAGGCACUGGAGAGGAAGGAAGGAUGCAUAUAUUUUUUUUAAAAAAGUAUAACAUUAAAGAUGUCACUUUCAAGAAUAAUUUUUUUAGAUGCUAUCACUUGGCUUCUUGCCCUGUUUGUGCCAAAGUGAAGAUUGAAUGCUGUGUUAAAUCUAAGGCAUUAUUUUCGGGCUCUGGGUAAGAGGAUCUCAGUUCCAUAAGCACAUGUGUACUUGUGCUGUGGAGUGGUAGGUGAUUCCAUGCCAUCAGAAACAUGCACAUGAGUGAGUCAAGAUUCAGGUAAGAACAAAUACAAGAAUUGUUUGUUGUUUCUAAGUCACUAAGUCGUGUCUGACUCUUUGUGACCCCAUGAACCAGAGCACGCCAGG